CCGCGGUAAUACGUAGGGGCAAGCGUUGUCCGGAUUUACUGGGUAUAAAGGGCGCGCAGGCGGGAUAGCGAGUCAGAGGUGAAAUCCUACAGCUUAACUGUAGAACUGCCUUUGAUACUGUUAUUCUUGAGUUCGGGAGAGAGAGACGGAAUUCCAGGUGUAGUGGUGAAAUACGUAGAUAUCUGGAAGAACACCAGUUGCGAAGGCAGUCUCUUGGUCCGAUACUGACGCUGAGGCGCGAAAGCGUGGG
RNAcentral lists this ribosomal RNA (250 nucleotides) under uncultured bacterium. RNAcentral describes it as "partial 16S ribosomal RNA". It matches the Rfam family "Bacterial small subunit ribosomal RNA", at positions 515 to 765 of the family's 1533-position model. The record is from RNAcentral.